CCAAUAGCGUAUAUUAAAGUUGUUGCAGUUAAAAAGCUCGUAGUUGAAUUUCGGGGUCAGUAGGUUGGUCAUGCCACUGGUAUGUACUGGUCUCACUGAUUCCUCCUUCCUGAUGAACUGUAAUGCCAUUAAUUUGGUGUUGCAGGGAAUCUGGACUGUUACUUUGAAAAAAUUAGAGUGUUUAAAGCAGGCUAACGCCUGAAUACAUUAGCAUGGAAUAAUGAAAUAGGACGUUCGAUCCUAUUUUGUUGGUUUCUAGGAUUGACGUAAUGAUUAAUAGGGAUAGUGGGGGGCAUUAGUAUUCAAUUGUCAGAGGUGAAAUUCUUGGAUUUAUUGAAGACUAACUACUGCGAAAGCAUUUGCCAAGGAUGUUUUCAUUAAUCAAGAACGAAAGUUAGGGGAUCGAAGACGAUCAGAUACCGUCGUAGUCUUAACCAUAAACUAUGCCGACUAGGGAUCGGAUGAUGUUAAUUUUUUAAUGACUCAUUCGGCGCCUUACG
RNAcentral lists this ribosomal RNA (500 nucleotides) under uncultured Glomus. RNAcentral's name for it is "SSU rRNA". It matches the Rfam family "Eukaryotic small subunit ribosomal RNA", at positions 591 to 1092 of the family's 1831-position model. Lineage: Eukaryota; Fungi; Glomeromycota; Glomeromycetes; Glomerales; Glomeraceae. The record is from RNAcentral.